AAAAAAAAAAAAAAAAAGGGUUUCGGACAAAGAUUUGAAUUAUGUAUCGUGAAGUCUUUAUGAAAUAGUUUCCUUCACCAUCGUAAUGAAGGCACGCGACCUUUUUAUCUUCACAAGUUUAGAUUUUUUUUGGAAGAAAGGGAGAAGGAAGCCGAAAGGGAAAAAGAGAGGGAAUACUUCCCCUUCUUACUCCUCAUUUUAUUAUGCGGUUGGGGAGAAUAUCACAUGCUUCAACUCUUCUCAAAUUUUCUAUCAAUCACCACUCAUCUUUCGUUCAUUUCACCAUUCCAAAAGGGUGGACUUGUUUGAAAAAAAAAAAAA
RNAcentral lists this unclassified non-coding RNA (321 nucleotides) under Hevea brasiliensis (rubber tree). The record is from RNAcentral. Lineage: Eukaryota; Viridiplantae; Streptophyta; Magnoliopsida; Malpighiales; Euphorbiaceae.